AUGGUAGAUGGGUCAUGGGAGAUGGGGCCACUCGACUCAGCCAAGGCAUCGGAGGACCAAAUCUGGACCGAAGCAGUUCACCAGCACGGGCGACAGAGAGAUUGGACGAGGAAGCCGAGCCGUUCGCGAGGCUAUCGACUCGCCCUUCGCUCGUGGGGCAGAGAAUAACCAGGAGGUGGAGCGGUCCACGGCGUCGUCGCCCUCGCCUUCGAGCCAUCCAUGACGUCGUCGCCAUCACCUAGCCACUCACCGCACAGGACGCAGAGAUGGGCGAGGACGCCUGUGGGAAGCAGCAGCGGCUCGAUGAUGACAGGAAGCAACAGUUCGCUCAUUCCUAGGUAUGUGAACCCUCUUGUCAUCUACACGGAUAGCUUUCUGUAAUUGUGGCAAGGUGCAGAGAUGGUUGUACAGUCGGUUAUCCUGUCAUUGAAACCAUUCAUAAGGAUAACAUCUGUCAUGUCGUUGAAGCUCCUGCUGAGAUACCUGAGAAAAUGAAGAAGUUAGCUACCAAUGUAGCUGAAAAAAACUAUCAAAUCAUUAGAAGGUUUUAUCGAACGAAGUAGCCCCUAGGGCUCACAUUAGUGGACACCAUAUAAUCCAGACAUGGCACUCUUCACAAUACGAGCAACAUCUACGUGCUAUUCUUGGACUUCCUGUUGGUAACCCUGUAAUUAAAGCACCCGCAACCAUAAUGAACAAAAUCCUGGGCUAUGAUGAGGUAUGUAUAUAUUUGAUUUUGUGUUGAUUUGCCCUCCAUGUUUUGCUAUGUUAAACAUUGAUAGUUAGGUCAAUAUUUGCUUUAUUAUUUAGUAACUCAUUAUUUUUGUAGGCCACCAUGUUAUUAUACUGGUUACCAAUUGGUACAAUGCAAUUUGGGAUUUUUUUUGGGCCCAUUAGCUGAUUAAGAGGGCGCUAAAUAUUUCAGGUGCAUCAGUCUAUUGGCAUGCAAAGGCAGGUUCUGCCCACACACAUAGAUGUUUGUUGCAGAAAGGUUUUAAUUAUGCUUAUUGCAUUCUUGUGCCAUUGAGUAUUAUUUAAAGAAUUGUUCUUCCACAUAUUUGGAAGCAAAGUAAGAUGGGUCAUAUUACAAUUGUGGGGCGUUAAUUAUGUGUUCAGUGUAAAAGCACAUUUGGACAAGUACACAAGAAUUUGUUGUUAGGGUCUACCGACAAAACAUGUAGGUGAGGCCAUUCAUGUACAUCAUCUUAUCUUGUCCUUUCUUUGUUCUGUUUUCCCCUGAUUAUGCCUGCAAUGGAAGUGCUUAUUUAGACAGUGCAUAUUGGAACAACAUUGAUCUAUUCUGCUUUUCAUUUAGACACUGCAUCUUUUCCUGUACUUUCUUUGUCCUAUUUCCCCCUUCUGUAAUGUGAAUUUCAAAUGGAACAAAUAAAAUAGUAAAUCACCUCCUUGUCAGCAAGAAGUUUCUUGCUGAAAACAUUUGGCGACUGAUCUGUAACAUUAGAAGCCAUGUCACUCUUACCAUGUUGUGAGCAAUGCAACAUUUCUCUUGCUAUUUUGUGUAUAAAUAUUUCAUCGGAAAGGAUUGUGCAACUAUGCCUUAUAUAUCAUAACUCUUGGAUGCAACUGUUUGCACAACUUUUGUGCGAGGAUGUAUUACUACUUUGAUGAAAAUUUACUUGUUGUUUUUUGUGUGCAUUGCAUUUCAGAUCUGACACAUAAAGGCACCUUGCCUUGUAUCAUGCAUUCCGCCCCAUAGACAUGUUCUUUAUCAGAUCUGAUGGUUCUCUGGUGGUUACAUGCCGACUGAAUCGAAUUGGGUUGGAUGCUCAGGUUUCUUGUCAACCAUUUAAUUUUAAGCAUUAUCUUUCAUGUCAUAGGCUAUUAUGUGCCAAUCCCUAAUAAAGGAAUCUGGUCCAGAAUUCUGUGGUGUACAAUAUCUCAAAAACUCUUUGGAAUUGGUAGGUAAAAAUUGAUUUGUUGUGAGCAGAAAGGAUCUUGAUAUGGUGCUUAAAAGCACUAACCCCGUCCUUAUUGUUCACAUACAGAUUUUUAUAUUUAUUUUAAUCGAUUCACUUUCGUCGGCAUUUUAGCGUGUGUUCCUUUUCAUGGCCAGCUUUACCAUUUGCUCUAGAAGGUGUUUUUCAACUCGGAAAGAACAAAGGAUUUGAGACUGCUUUAUCUUUCAUGUAAUAGUUCAGUUCAACUGUUUAUUUUUUCCGUAGUUCAUAAUCAGUCUGAACAAUAGUACAUCAGUAAAAAUAAUAGUAGUUAAUUUAAGACUGCUUUUACCUUUCCUGCAAUAAUUCAAGGUGAUUGUUCUUAGUUUUUUUUUUCUGUAGUAGUUAAUUUGAUGAUCUAAUUUACAAAAAAGCAAGCACCUCUGUUUGUAGGUUGCAGGUUCCAAGGUGUGAUCGUUGUCCAUUUGUUUGAGGUCGGGCAACAACGAUAAUUAGCAGCCCUGUAUCCUAACCAGGAGAACAUCCCUUCCCCAAUAUUGGUUUUUAGAUUAUGUUCAGUUAAUUAGAAAAAUAGUGGGCUUGCUAAAACAUCGCAAUUUUCCAUGUGAGUCGAUAUGGAAUUAACAAACACUAUAUGCAUCAAUGUCUAUUUAAUGGCCUAAAAACACUGGCAUGUUUGGAUCUAAUUUUUCAUCUGUACGUAUCAGCGGUGAGCUAUUCCCACUUGAG
Molecule: ribosomal RNA, 2648 nt
Filed under: Triticum aestivum (bread wheat)
Lineage: Eukaryota; Viridiplantae; Streptophyta; Magnoliopsida; Poales; Poaceae
Description: partial small subunit ribosomal RNA
Source: RNAcentral